RNAcentral lists this long non-coding RNA (236 nucleotides) under Lathyrus oleraceus (garden pea). Its description in RNAcentral is "Pisum sativum (pea) long non-coding RNA (PSAT_LNC014265)". Lineage: Eukaryota; Viridiplantae; Streptophyta; Magnoliopsida; Fabales; Fabaceae. The record is from RNAcentral.
UUAAUGCACCUUAUGUUCUUCAUUUCCCUUUAUCCAUCAUCCAUCUUCUUCUUCUUCUCCUUCUUUUUCUUUUUUUUGAUCAAUGAGUUAAAGAUUGAUAAGUUAGCAUUGAUUUGGGAGGUUUAAUCUUCCUUGAUUCAAAUCUAAUUCAUCUUGAUCAAAUGAUCAAGUGAAUGGCUUUGCAUUAAGGAUAGAUUGCUUCUAAAUCAUGCAAAGGACUUAAACCAAUACAAGAU